Molecule: unclassified non-coding RNA, 1057 nt
Filed under: Bombus terrestris (buff-tailed bumblebee)
Lineage: Eukaryota; Metazoa; Arthropoda; Insecta; Hymenoptera; Apidae
Description: misc RNA ENSBTSG00005036516.1
Source: RNAcentral
CGGUGUUAUACAUAGACCAACAUCGCAAAUCUGGCACUGGCAUCGCGAUUCGUUCCAUCAGUCGGCUAUAAUCGACAACACACUUCGGUUUUUUAAUAAUUUUUUGCGUGCGAUAAUGACGUUUCGUGUCAACCUUCAUUGUGGAAAAAGGACAACGUAUACACUGUCCUAUUGUUACACCAUUUUAUUGUUAAUAAAAGGCUUGAGAGGCAUCUGACGCAGAGCGACUAUAGCCGCGACUAUGGUACGUCAGUGGCAUCUUAUGCAGAGCAAUUGUAGUCGCCCGUAGUAGCGAAAGGAUGGACAAUUCGAGUAUCUUCUUUGAAGUUUCAGUAAAAAAUGAAGUCGUCCUAGUCCUUUCUGGUUGGAAGUGGAAGGACAGAAGAAUAUUAGCAAGAUUCAGAUGUGGAAACGAGACCAAAGCAAGGGAAUACUGGAAAGAAGAGGGAGAAAAGAGAUGCAGACUAUGUAAAAGGAAAGAAGACCUGAGACAUGUAAUAGAAGAAUGUGAAAUAACGGGGGGGCCAAAGGACAUAUAAAAGACACUAAAUGAGACUGGAGAAGGUCUAACAGAAUUAAAAGCAAUAACAGAGAAGAGAAGGGUUGUUGCAAUAGUUUUGUAGUCAUUAAUUUUUAGUUUUUAGUUUUUUUAGUUUUAGUUUUUAGAGAUAGAAUAAUUAAGGGAGUGCAAUAUAAUAGAGUGGAUAAGAGGGGAGGUAGAUAUAUAAGAAGCGAAAUAGGUAUAAGAGAUGUAAAACCGAAAGUUCGUCCAAAGCCGAAAGGCACGGACUAAGCGAUAAUAAAUAAUAUGCAUAUUUGUAAGCAAAUUACAUUCUGUCGAAAAUAAGCAAAUAAUACACGUAUGUUUGAGCGAUAACGUUUUCUUGUUCGAAACAAAUUUAAAAAUUUUUUUAAGUAUACUCAAAUUUGGUUAAUUAUCUACUAAAUAUCGACGUGAGUAAACGAUCAGGAGGAUGUUAUUUUAAACACGAUAUGUGAAAAAUGUGGAUUAAAAUUGCUUCAUUUAAGACUUUAUUUUCAAGAAAGUAGAGUAGGU